AAAUAAUUUUGGGAUGUUUUCUGUGAAAGUUUUAUAUUCACAGCAAGUGUUCGUUUUCAUUGUUUUGCUGGGAUGUUGUCUUGCUGGGGUGCAGUAGAAGGGGAGGGGAGUUAAGUGGGAUUUUCUGAGUUAAGUGGGAAUUUCUGAAAUAAUUCUGGGAUGUUUUCUGUGAAAUUUUUAUAUUUAGAAUAAGUGUUCGUUUUCAUUGUUUUGCUGGGAUGUUGUCUUGGUGGGGUGCAGCAGAAGGGGAGGG
RNAcentral lists this long non-coding RNA (253 nucleotides) under Hordeum vulgare. RNAcentral describes it as "long non-coding RNA (HVUL_LNC014892)". The record is from RNAcentral. Lineage: Eukaryota; Viridiplantae; Streptophyta; Magnoliopsida; Poales; Poaceae.